Molecule: ribosomal RNA, 429 nt
Filed under: Pseudomonadota bacterium
Lineage: Bacteria; Pseudomonadati; Pseudomonadota
Description: Proteobacteria bacterium partial 16S ribosomal RNA
Rfam family: Bacterial small subunit ribosomal RNA
Source: RNAcentral
UGGGGAAUAUUGGACAAUGGGCGAAAGCCUGAUCCAGCCAUGCCGCGUGUGUGAAGAAGGUCUUCGGAUUGUAAAGCACUUGAAGUUGGGAGGAAGGGCAGUAAGCGAAUACCUUGCUGUUUUGACGUUACCGACAGAAUAAGCACCGGCUAACUCUGUGCCAGCAGCCGCGGUAAUACAGAGGGUGCAAGCGUUAAUCGGAAUUACUGGGCGUAAAGCGCGCGUAGGUGGUUCGUUAAGUUGAAUGUGAAAGCCCCGGGCUCAACCUGGGAACUGCAUCCAAAACUGGCGAGCUAGAGUAGGGCAGAGGGUGGUGGAAUUUCCUGUGUAGCGGUGAAAUGCGUAGAUAUAGGAAGGAACACCAGUGGCGAAGGCGACCACCUGGGCUCAUACUGACACUGAGGUGCGAAAGCGUGGGGAGCAAACAGG